CCUACGGGUGGCAGCAGUGAGGAAUAUUGGUCAAUGGGCGCAAGCCUGAACCAGCCAAGUCGCGUGAAGGAUGAAGGAUCUAUGGUUUGUAAACUUCUUUUAUAUGGGAAUAAAGUGAGGAACGUGUUCCUUUUUGUAUGUACCAUAUGAAUAAGCAUCGGCUAACUCCGUGCCAGCAGCCGCGGUAAUACGGAGGAUGCGAGCGUUAUCCGGAUUUAUUGGGUUUAAAGGGUGCGUAGGUGGUUAAUUAAGUUAGCGGUGAAAGUUUGUGGCUCAACCAUAAAAUUGCCGUUGAAACUGGGUGACUUGAGUAUAGCAGAGGUAGGCGGAAUGCGUGGUGUAGCGGUGAAAUGCAUAGAUAUCACGAAGAACUCCGAUUGCGAAGGCAGCUUACUGGACUAUAACUGACGCUGAUGCACGAAAGCGUGGGGAUCAAACAGGAUUAGAUACCCGUGUAGUC
RNAcentral lists this ribosomal RNA (460 nucleotides) under uncultured bacterium. Its description in RNAcentral is "partial 16S ribosomal RNA". It matches the Rfam family "Bacterial small subunit ribosomal RNA", at positions 338 to 795 of the family's 1533-position model. The record is from RNAcentral.